RNAcentral lists this ribosomal RNA (482 nucleotides) under uncultured bacterium. RNAcentral describes it as "partial 16S ribosomal RNA". It matches the Rfam family "Bacterial small subunit ribosomal RNA", at positions 30 to 507 of the family's 1533-position model. The record is from RNAcentral.
AUUGAACGCUGGCGGCAUGCCUUACACAUGCAAGUCGAACGGUAACAGGUCUUCGGUUGCUGACUAGUGGUGAACGGGUGCGUAAUACAUCGGAACGUGCCAGAUCGCUGUGGAUAACGAAGCGAUAGCUUUGCUAAUAUCGCAUACGAUCUACGGAUUAAAGCGGGGGAUCUUCGUACUUCGCGCGGGCGGAGCGGCCGCUGGCAGAUUAGGUAGUUGGUGGGAUAAAAGCUUACCAAGCCAACGAUCGGUAGCUGGUCUGAGAGGAUGAUCAGCCACACUGGGACUGAGACACGGCCCAGACUCCUACGGGAGGCAGCAGUGGGGAAUUUUGGGCAAUGGGCGAAAGCCUGACCCAGCAAUGCCGCGUGCAGGAUGAAGGCCUUCGGGUCGUAAACUUCUGUUGUACGGAACGAAAAGGUGCCUUCUAAUAAAGGGCGGUCAUGACGGUACCGUAAGAAUAAGCACCGGCUAACUACGUG